Molecule: long non-coding RNA, 1408 nt
Filed under: Salmo salar (Atlantic salmon)
Lineage: Eukaryota; Metazoa; Chordata; Actinopteri; Salmoniformes; Salmonidae
Description: lncRNA (ENSSSAG00000107945.1)
Source: RNAcentral
UAUAGCGUAGUGGGCUCCUCACUGUACAAAAAUUCCCCCCCAAAGCGAUAGGCAUCUCAUGGAUAUUAUGUUGGGGAAACCGAGUUCAACAAAGCUUUGUGCAACAGUAUUUAUUCAAAUGACGUUUCUCCCAGCCCAGGAGGAAUUUGGGACAGUAGAGAGAGUGAUAAACUCCAUUCAUCACACUCUUUCUUUCUUCUUCAACCUCCAUGUCUGUAAGUUCACCUCUGGACGUAAGAGCGGUAUCCACAGGUUAGUUUCCUGGGGUUUGGAAGGUGUGGUCUGCGCGGAGGAGACGCUGUCGAUACGGCAUGGAUUCAGGUGUGUUCCUGAGAAUGGAGUUAAAGUGGAGGAGGUUCUGCUUGCAGUCGGUGAACAGAGAGAGAGACAGCCUCCAAGACUCACCUCUACCUCAAGAAACCUACUUUUCCUACUCCAAUCUCCCCUCACAUCAAUCAUCAUGCACCUUGCGUUGUGUUCGUUCAUCAUGGGAGGAUCUUCAGUGGGGCAGUUUCUCCUCUCAACAUGGCUAAGAAACACACAGCAGGCUGAACCUCAUUGGAGGAAUCCAGUGUUGUGUUCGAGACCACCUUAAGCGAGACCGAUUCAAGACCAAGACCGGAGCGAAUCGAGUCCGAGUCAAAACCAAGACCGGAGAGGGGGUGAGACCAAGUCAAGACCGAGGCCAGGAGGGGGAUGAGAGGUUCGAGACCGAGUCAAACCGAGACCAGAAUAAUCCGAGAGGUCCGAGACCAAGUCCAAGUCAAGACCAUGACUAUAAUUUUGUAAAAUCGUGACCAAAAUAUGAUUUAAAAAUGUCCAGUAUUUCUGUGUUCAUAUUUCAGAAGAGUAUAUGAAUUCUUUAGAUAUUCAGAAUGGUGAAAAAAAAUGCAUGCUGAGGGCAAAUAGAGCCACUCUACAAUGAGGACCUUCUGUGCUUUCAGAGAAAGGCCAAGUAUUUAUAAAAUAAUAAAAAGUAAUUAUUAUUAUGUUGUUCUUUUCAAUGAUGUUCUGAUUUAAUCUCUUCAGUUUUUGCUACAAAGGUAAAGGUUAAUACUUUGGGGGUCUCUGGGGAGAUACAUCUAGCUAGCUAAGUCAGCCAUUGGCUGGGCCAUCAGAAGCUUGAUAGAAGGCAUCUGCCAUUCAACUGAAUUAGGGCAACAUUUUGGUGUGACAGUGGAAUCAACCAAUCACAUUGACUUGUAGUGGCCAACAGGUCAAAGGUCACUGUGAAAUAGCGAGCAGUAGUUUUCCCAAGGUCUAGCUAUCUUUUGUUGUAGGCUAGUUUGCAGUCACUGCAGCAGGUGCGUCAAAGAGAAUGUUGUUGCUAAUUUGCUAACUUCUCACUUUUCAAGAAUAACUUUCAAUGAGAAGUUAUGUUUCUAAUGAUCACCAUCUGGUGAGUGGA